AGGUUUAGCUGUAUUUAUACACACCCCAUUUAGCCAUACCCUAGGUUUAGCUGUAUUUAUACACACCCCAUUUAGCCAUACCCUAGGUUUAGAUGUAUUUAUACACACCCUAUUUAGCCAUACCCUAGGUUUAGCAGUAUUUCUACAGCCCCAAACAUCAUAAUGUGGCUAUGGGACAGAAGAGCAGAGGGGAGAUGGAGAGAGAGGGAGAUGUCAACAGAGAUAGGUCUGACAGACUAACAUGCAGUUAACUCAAUAUCUUUUCAUUACUGACUUCUCACCAGUGAUGUCAUCAUAACCAGUAACCUUUUCAA
This 314-nucleotide long non-coding RNA is filed under the name Salmo salar (Atlantic salmon). Its description in RNAcentral is "lncRNA (ENSSSAG00000096062.1)". Lineage: Eukaryota; Metazoa; Chordata; Actinopteri; Salmoniformes; Salmonidae. The record is from RNAcentral.